UACGGAGGAUCCAAGCGUUAUCCGGAAUCAUUGGGUUUAAAGGGUCCGUAGGCGGUUUUGUAAGUCAGUGGUGAAAUCCGGCAGCUCAACUGUCGAACUGCCAUUGAUACUGCAGGACUUGAAUAAUUGUGAAGUAACUAGAAUAUGUAGUGUAGCGGUGAAAUGCUUAGAUAUUACAUGGAAUACCCAUUGCGAAGGCAGGUUACUAACAGUUCAUUGACGCUGAUGGACGAAAGCGUGGGGAGCGAACAGG
Molecule: ribosomal RNA, 253 nt
Filed under: uncultured prokaryote
Description: partial 16S ribosomal RNA
Rfam family: Bacterial small subunit ribosomal RNA
Source: RNAcentral